RNAcentral lists this ribosomal RNA (1769 nucleotides) under Nerpa fistulata. RNAcentral's name for it is "SSU rRNA". It matches the Rfam family "Eukaryotic small subunit ribosomal RNA". The record is from RNAcentral. Lineage: Eukaryota; Metazoa; Platyhelminthes; Tricladida; Bdellouridae.
ACGAUUGAUCCUGCCAGUAAUGAUAUGCUUAUCUCGAAGAUUAAGCCAUGCAUGCCUAAGAACUCGUACUAGCACUACGAAUCCGUGUACGGCUCAUUAUAACAGCCAUUAUUUAAGGGAACUAAGAUAUCAUGGAUAACUGUGGUAAUUCUAGAGCUAAUACAUUCCACCUAACUGUGACUCACGAAGCAGUGGAUUUAUUAGAUCAAAGCCAAUCCGUCCUAGACGGUCCUUUGAUGACUCAAAGUAACUUACCUAAUCGUAUGGCCUUUGCGCUGGCGAUGUCCCCCUUAAAGUGGCUGACCUAUCAACUGUCGAUGGUAAGUUAAAGGCUUACCAUGGUUGUAACGGGUAACGGGGAAUCAGGGUUCGAUUCCGGAGAGGGAGCCUGAGAAACGGCUACCACAUCCACGGAUGGCAGCAGGCACGUAACAUGCCCAAUGCUUGAAAAGCGAGGCUGUGAAGAUAAAUAACGAUUUGAGCUCAUAGAGUAUCAUAAUUGUAAUGAGAUCAGUGUAAACAAUUUACCGAGAAACAAUUGGAGGGCAAGUCUGGUGCCAGCAGCCGCGGUAAUUCCAGUUCCAAUAGUGUAUAUUAAAGUUGUUGCAGUUAAAAAGCUCGUAGUCGAAAUUGAGGUGCGUUUUUGUAGUUAUACACUGUAUUUCAGCAUUUGCCACCUUCUGAGUCGUGUACACUAUUAAUGCCUUUUACGAGGUGUUGAUGGCGACCGACAUGUUUACUUUGAAUAAAUUAGAGUGCUUAAAGCAAGCUUUUGCUUGAAUAUUGUUGCAUGGAAUAAUGGAAUAGGACUUUGGUUCUAUUUUAUUGGUUUCGGAACUGAAGUAAUGAUUGACAGAGACAGCCGGGGGCAUACGUACGCUGAUGGGAGAGGUGAAAUUCGAAGAUCAUCAGCAGACGAACAACAGCGAAAGCAUCUGCCUAGAAUGUUUUCUUUGAUCAAGAACGAAAGUCAGAGGAUCGAAGACGAUCAGAUACCGUCCUAGUUCUGACCAUAAACUAUGCCAACUGACGGUUAGCUAAGGCAAUCUUUUACGCCUUGCUAGCAGUCACCGGGAAACUAAAGUCUAUGGGUUCCGGGGGUAGUAUGGUUGCAAAGCUGAAACUUAAAGGAAUUGACGGAAGGGCACCACCAGGGGUGGAGCCUGCGGCUUAAUUUGACUCAACACGGGAAAUCUCACCCGGUCCGGACACUGCAAGGAUUGACAGAUUGAUAGCUCUUUCUUGAUUCGGUGGGUGGUGGUGCAUGGCCGUUCUUAGUUGGUGGAUUGAUUUGUCUGGUUAAUUCCGAUAACGAACGAGACUCUAACCUACUAAAUAGUGCAUGCGUGAACUUCUAUAGCGCAUGGUGACUUCUUAGAGGAAUUAGUGAUGUUUAAUCAAAUGAAAAGGAGCAAUAACAGGUCUGUGAUGCCCUUAGAUGUCCGGGGCCGCACGCGCGCUACAAUGGCAGUACCAGCGAGUUUUUUUCCUAGCCUGAGAGGGUCGGGUAACCUGCUAAUUGCUGUCAUAUCUGGAAUAGUGGUUUGCAAUUAUUCCACUUGAACGAGGAAUCCCUAGUAAGUGCAAGUCACUAGCUUGUGCUGAUUACGUCCCUGCCCUUUGUACACACCGCCCGUCGCUACUACCGAUUGAAUGAUUUAGUGAGGUUAUUGGAUUUGGGUCUAAGUGAUUUACGUUACUAAGAUUCGGAAAAGAUACCCAAACUUGAUUAUUUAGAGGAAGUAAAAGUCGUAACAAGGUUUCCGUAG